RNAcentral lists this long non-coding RNA (1268 nucleotides) under Sarcophilus harrisii (Tasmanian devil). RNAcentral describes it as "lncRNA (ENSSHAG00000027918.1)". Lineage: Eukaryota; Metazoa; Chordata; Mammalia; Dasyuromorphia; Dasyuridae. The record is from RNAcentral.
CUUUUAUUUUUGUUUUUGGGAGGCAAUUAGGAUUAAGUGACCUGUCCAAGGUUAUACAGCUAGGAAGUGUUACAUGUCUGAGGCAGGGUUUGAACUCAACUACAGGGCUAGUGUUCUUUUCCACUAUAUCAUCUAGCUUGCCCUGCAGAUACUACUACUUUUUUUCCCCCCAUGAGGCAAUUGGGGUUAAGUGACUUGCCCAGGGUCAGACAUCUAGGAUGUGUUAAGUGUCUGAGGCCAGAUUUGAACUCGGGUCCCCCUGACUUCAUAGCUGGUGCUCUAUCCACUGCACUACCUAGUUAUCCCUAUACUACUUCUUUACCAGUAUUUUUUCCACAAACCUUGCAACUGACCUUUUCUUAAAAUUUGAGUUUUUUACACAGGCACUUAAAAAAUUCCAAAAUCUGAAUUGAAAUAGAAAUUCUUUGGAAAACAGACCAAGUAGUUUGAUAGUUUCUAUUUAACUGGAACUCUUUGGAGUUUUUUUUACUGCACAUUCUUCAUUUUUCAUUCACAUAACCUGACAAUUAUUUACUUUUUUUUUUCCCCAUUGUACAGUAGAGUACUGCUAAGGAUUUUCUUUAUUUUUAAAAAUACUUGAUGGCUUUUCAAGUUGGAGUUUCUUUAAAGUUUGACUUUCCAUGUCUUAAAAUAUGUGUAUAUAUGUGUGUGUAUACAUAUAUAUAUAUAUAUAUUUUUUUUUUUUAAAUAAUUUUAGCCAUACUGUUUCUUGAGCCAGUACAAAAGCUGGCAUCUUUUAAAUGUAUCAUUUGGGGAGUUAAAAUUCUUGAUUAUGUUCUACACUACUGAAAGAGGAUUGCUAUGAUGCACAGUGAAAGUCUUAGUGUAAAAAAAGAGGAGAGGAGAAGGUCAGAUCAAUAAGUUUCAAAAAGGAAAAAGGGAGUGGUUUUGUCUCAAAGUAAAAUAGCUGGUCUCUGCCAGAAUGUGAAAGAAUAAAGUACUGAGACAAACCAAAGCAGGUCUAAAGCAAGUUGAAGAGGGUUGGAGGGAGAUGAACUUUUAUUUGCAAGGUGUUAAGAACAGUGAAUAAGAAAAGAAGUGACAAGAAAAUUAAAUCUUGACAAAGUUAGCUAGUGGUAUUAUUUCAAUGGUUUAAUAUCAUAGGGAAUAGACUUGGGACAUCUUUCCAGAAUGUUUCCAGGUUUUAAAGUAUCUCAAAAAGUAAUUAGAGUUUUGCUUUCCAUCUGUUGAAAAAACAUGUCUGGCACAUCUUUACAUUGGCUAAAAUUUUAAUCACAGCUUUUGCA